This 74-nucleotide transfer RNA is filed under the name Planctomycetota bacterium. Its description in RNAcentral is "tRNA-Gln". It matches the Rfam family "tRNA". From Rfam's summary of the family: Transfer RNA (tRNA) molecules are approximately 80 nucleotides in length. Their secondary structure includes four short double-helical elements and three loops (D, anti-codon, and T loops). Further hydrogen bonds mediate the characteristic L-shaped molecular structure. tRNAs have two regions of fundamental functional importance: the anti-codon, which is responsible for specific mRNA codon recognition, and the 3' end, to which the tRNAs corresponding amino acid is attached (by aminoacyl-tRNA synthetases). tRNAs cope with the degeneracy of the genetic code in two manners: having more than one tRNA (with a specific anti-codon) for a particular amino acid; and 'wobble' base-pairing, i.e. permitting non-standard base-pairing at the 3rd anti-codon position. Lineage: Bacteria; Pseudomonadati; Planctomycetota. The record is from RNAcentral.
UUCCCCGUAGUGUAACGGUAGCACACGAGUUUUUGGCACUCUUAGUCCAGGUUCGAAUCCUGGCGGGGAAACCA